This 314-nucleotide ribosomal RNA is filed under the name uncultured eukaryote. RNAcentral describes it as "partial 18S ribosomal RNA". It matches the Rfam family "Eukaryotic small subunit ribosomal RNA", at positions 1470 to 1796 of the family's 1831-position model. The record is from RNAcentral.
CCCCUAGAUGUUCUGGGCCGCACGCGCGCUACACUGAACAGUUCAACAAGUCUUAACCUUGGCCGAUAGGUCUGGGUAAUCUUUGAACGCUGUUCGUGAUUGGGAUAGACCUUUGCAAUUAUGGGUCUUCAACGAGGAAUUCCUAGUAAACGCAAGUCAUCAGCUUGCAUUGAUUACGUCCCUGCCCUUUGUACACACCGCCCGUCGCUCCUACCGAUUGAAUGGUCCGGUGAAGCCUCCGGAUUGGCGCGCACCUCGGUGCCGCCGAGAAGUUGGCUAAACCUUACCAUUUAGAGGAAGGUGAAGUCGUAACA